GGGUGUUCUUAAAAUACACCGGAAAGAACGGAGGUAAAAAUACUGGAGUGUUUCCUCCACACUGGAAAGAGAGGAGGUGGGGACGGAUAUGGUAUUUGUAGGGCAGCGCUGUGAACAAUGGAGCCAUCAAAAAGGCCUUCUCCCAGCCUCCUCACCAACCACGGACAUUCCUGGCCCAACAAGACCUCCUGGCCAGGUUUUGAGCCCUGCUUCCCAGAUCUGGGGACCCUUCACCUGCCUCUACUACUGCAAAUGAUUGGAUAUUCGUCUGACUUGGCUCUUCCCUAAUGUGUGGAACUAAUUUUGUUCACUCUGUUUCAUGCUGGACCUGGCCUGAAAAUGGGCCCUUAUAUUGUCUUUGCACUUUCCAACUUGCCAAGUUUCUGAAAGAAGGACCAAAGUAAUGCCAAGAACUCCCAGAUGAAGAGGACCUUCCUUAGACCUAUAACAGAUUCACUACUUGACUUCAGAGGGAAGUUUCAGCUAAUUCUCAGGAAAAGGUCAAAACAGGCCUGUGACUGUCCCUUGAAUACUGAAGGUAUAAACAAGCUUCUGGCUCCUCCAGGUCAAGCAGAGGAACACUUUUAUUAGAAUGAAGGGUUACUUCUUUGUUAUUCAAACACACACCCACACACAUCCUCUGUAGUCUCCCUAAUGAAAAACCUCAACAGAUGGAGAGCCUGAGCUCCCAAGUCCGCAGGCUGAGAAGAUGCACUUCACUCAAGGGCCAGUGGGCUGGUACAGACUAGGGAAGAGAAAAGGGACAAAGGCUGCUAGUAUAGGUAAUCACUAUCUUUUAAUACUCCUAACACAUAGAAAUUCGAAAAAUCUUGUUCAGCAAUGUUAGCAGCCUGUGAGCCUCGGAAACUAAUUUGGCUGAUGUGUCUCUGAUAGGGAGCUUGGGGCUGCACCAAGGGGAAACAUUCUCCUCCUGUAUUCUCUCCUCUCUCUCGUUUGAAAGCCUGUACAAAGAAAUGGUACAAAUGGAUGGUUAACUUAAUGAUUCCAUCAGAGGCAGAUUUUUCUCUGUCAGGUCCCUGGAUAAGGUGGAGGUCUGAAAGCCAGGAGACAGAAUAUGUACUUAAUCGCCCUUUCUGACCUGCUUACCAGUGACCAGGACUACUCUCCAGGCCUUUCUUCUGCCACUUCCCCAUUCUUCCUGGCUAGUUCAGUUGGGUCUCAGCACUUCAACUCCUGGCUGGAUCCUGAGUUUUUCUUGGUUGCAGGGAAAGCUCUCACUGUCUGCAUCUCCUUCCCCACCCCCACCUCCCGUUUUGCAGCUGGCCAUUCUGGCUGCCUCACAGCUAUCCUGCCUUAAUUCAUAUUUGAUUGCCUGGACAGAACCACCUAGAAUGUCCAGACGACUGCCACCCCUCAGCCAUGGGCCUGAGAUCCUGCCCUGACCCCUUUCUUCAGACCCCAGGAGGACCCACAAUCUCCCUGAUCCCCACCUUCCCCAAAGUAGUCUCUAGGAAAAAAGCAGAGCUGGCUAAGGCCUGAGACAGAGCCAUUUCUUCCCCUUGGGCAAACGAGGUAGACCCUCCCAGAGACCAAUGCCGGAGAGGCCCGGAUCCGAGCUCCCUUUAUAUGGCCUCCCCCAUCACGGAUCCCGUGGGAAAACCUGACACACAAUGGCGCGGCUGCUCCGGGCACCCUCAACCCAGCGCCCUGCGGCAAGGCCUGGAGCAGCCUGGUGGUCUUGGUGCGCUCCCUUUGCCCUCCCCGCAACCCUCUGCGAGCACUCGUCCCAGGAGAGAGACCCUGGCUAGGGUGGAGGUUGCCUCCCGCAAAGGGCGCUGUUGCUGGGGCCUCCCCUCCCCCAUUCUCUUGUUUUUCUGCUUCUGAGACUCGGGAGGGAGGCGGCAGGCGCCUCCGCAGCCGAUAGAGCAGCUAUUGUGACCUUCCCUUGCAGAGCGGGAACCCAGCCGAGUGUGUACCGCCGGCGGUGGCGGGGGAGGAGGCGACUGUGUGUGCAAACCUCAGUCGGAGAGGGGGUGGCGCUGGGAAAUAAAGGUUUGCAACCUCAGGCAGUUGGGCCCUUCAGAGGGCGUUUGGUUGUGUUUAGACUCGGUUGCUUUCUAACACUAAUUGCAGGCUCAAAAGGAGCGGAAUUUAUUGCGAAGGCCAAGGCGGCUUGUUUAUAAUUUAUGAAGUUUUAAAUGGCUGUGCCGCGGGCCCCAACUUUCUCCUGGGCUGGCAGCCGCGCGGAAACGCGCCCUCCCCCGGCUCGCCGCCCACCCCCACCCACGCCCCUCAGAUGAGUCUCACGCCAAUGGCAGGAACAGAUCCGAGCUAUUAGAAGUCUCGGGAACCUCCAGAGAUGACAGAAGGUGGCAGAUUUGGUCCAAGCCCUCACCCCACUCGAGAGGAGGGCGUCGGGGAAAGCUGUGGCUGCCUGGAGAGGGAGCCCCUGAUCCCACACUUCCUUGGAGCCUGAGUGUGAGAGGAAGCUAAUGUCAGCCGGGCUAGACACCGUUUAAAGUCUAAUCCAUGAAACCCUAAGCCGCAAAUGACACUUGGGGCUUUGCAGACACCCGCAGACUCAGCAGAUACUCCUGCGGUAACACACUGUGCUGGAAAACGCCUGGAGCCAUGACACAUUACGUAUUUUUAUUAUUAUUUAUGGUAGGAAGAGGAGAUGAGGGAAAAUCGGGCUGAAUCUAAGCAGCCUGACAAUUCAGCUAGUUAAUAUUUAGCCAGUUAAGAAAGGUGGUUGUAAUCCCUGCAAGGCAGUGAGCUCUCCUUUGAUUUCUCUAAUAGCUUAAAAAAUAAUUUCUUACAAGACAAUUAGAAAUUCUGCCUAUGGAUGCAAAUUUCAUAGAAAACAAUGUUAAGCCUUGAAAGUGGGUAAAAUGUGCCUUCGAUUGAAGUCAUUUAUUCUGUUGAUACACUUCUACAACAUAUAUAUUUUAAACCUGCUCAGAUAAAGUGAAAUUUAGCAAAAGGAUAUCCCCUCCCACCCCCAAAUCUAACAUGCCAUUUUAAAAACAGCACAAAGGAACAAGGAAACUAAAUAUUAUUUUGAGCCAUCAUUACUUAGUGAAAUACAAACAUCCAAAUAGAAACGAUUGUUGUUCCACCAGAAGAUUAGAAGUUAAAUUAUUUCCACACAAUAGGAAUUUCACUUCGUGUCAUCGGGGAUGUAGUAGGAGUUGCAUUAUUUGUCAAACCAAAUAGAGAUGCGUGGGCUGACUUUGCUGAAAUACAAAAGAAUUGAACCUUAUCUGAAGGCGUUUUCUAAGUGGCCCCUCCCAUAGAAGCCGGGAAGUUGUCCACCCCUAGCAGAAGCCACAUUAAUAUUUACAAAAUGGUUAUAAAUCCUUGAAGACAUUUUUGCCCAUUUUGUAUAAGAAACAGGAGUAAACAAGGUGUUUAUACUUGUUAUGUUUCAUUAAUGAAAUAUUAUUACUUUACAUCUUGGGGAAUGUUUGUUUUCUUUAGAAAUGAACUAAUGAUCACUACAAAGGAAGAAUUCAUGACAGCAUUUCCUAGAGAAAAAGCUUAGGUACGCGUCUCCAAAUGAUGGUUUCUUUUUCUACACCUUAGCUUUUUCAUAGCUCAAUUCUUCUUACAACUUCUCUUGUGUUUUUUCUUUGAUUGUCAGUUUUCUUUCAAAGUUUAUUUUUUGUUACUUAAUGCAGAAAAGUGAGCUCUGGUCUCCCCAGUGUAAAAGUCGAUUGUGUCUAGAAAGAAGGCAGUAAAAACAGCAAAGCAGGCGCUGCUUUCAAAAAGCCCUGCCCAAAUCAUCCCGCCCAGAACCUUCUUAGGUUUGCAUCCUCAUUUCCCCCUCCCCUAAUUUCAAUAGCUGGAAAGUAAUCAAGUAUCCCGAGAACCAAUUUAUGCACUAGACUCCAAAUAAAUAAAAUAUUUUUUUCAAAGUGUCAGUCUGUUUCGGGGCCUUCCAUGGGGAUUGUGCGAGAUAAAGGCAUAGUGAUCUGCUUGCAAGUGUGCAUGAUUAACACAGAUACAGUUCCGACUGGGAAAUUUUUUUAUUCUAAAUAUUUGUUCCAAUAGUACCAGACAAUUUGAAAUCAAUAAACUG
This is a long non-coding RNA of Homo sapiens (human), 4042 nucleotides long. Ensembl annotates it as HOXD antisense growth-associated long non-coding RNA. Its record names the gene HAGLR. Lineage: Eukaryota; Metazoa; Chordata; Mammalia; Primates; Hominidae. The record is from Ensembl.